Pygocentrus nattereri (red-bellied piranha) is the source of this 166-nucleotide small nuclear RNA. Its record names the gene U2. It matches the Rfam family "U2 spliceosomal RNA". From Rfam's summary of the family: U2 is a small nuclear RNA (snRNA) component of the spliceosome (involved in pre-mRNA splicing). Complementary binding between U2 snRNA (in an area lying towards the 5' end but 3' to hairpin I) and the branchpoint sequence (BPS) of the intron results the bulging out of an unpaired adenosine, on the BPS, which initiates a nucleophilic attack at the intronic 5' splice site, thus starting the first of two transesterification reactions that mediate splicing. Lineage: Eukaryota; Metazoa; Chordata; Actinopteri; Characiformes; Serrasalmidae. The record is from Ensembl.
CACACUUCUCGACCUUUUGACUAAGAUCAAGUGUAGUAUCUGUUCUUAUCAGUUUAAUAUCUGAUACCUCCUCUAUAUGAGGACUACGUAUUAAAUUGAUUUUUAGAACAGGGAGACAGAAGAGGGGCUUGCUCCGUCCGCUCCAUGCUUUGACGGGGCAGUCGUG